Molecule: non-coding RNA, 72 nt
Organism: Schistosoma rodhaini
Lineage: Eukaryota; Metazoa; Platyhelminthes; Trematoda; Strigeidida; Schistosomatidae
Source: Rfam
UCCUCGAUAGUAUAGUGGUGAGCACCUCCGUCUGUCACGUGGAAGGCGCUGGUUUAAUUACUGGUCGAGGAG